CCGGCACCUUUAGAAUAACAGUCUUAUUAUGGGUACGUUUUGUUGCGUUCACAAAAUAAUCUUACUUUUUUGGCACCGGGACCUUCUAAAACAUAUGUAAACCAAUUGCAACAAGACUGUUUCGAGACGUCAAUCGAAAAAUUGGAACCGGCACACUCUCUUUGACAUUUAGCAUUCUUGAUAAAAUGUCAUUAAUGACAGUUUUUAGCAAUUUUAUUAAAGUUGUAAAUAUGGAACUUUUAUAACAUUAUUUUGAAUAUUAUUAAAAGAAUACACAUCAAAUUUAAGUGAAACCUAUGUAGUUGGAAAUCUAUUUAAUAAAUGAAGCUUUUAAAGAAGAUAAUACAUUUAUUAUAUUAAAAAUGCAAAAUUAACAUAACUACAUCGGGUUGUUCCAAGAAAAGGCUUCAAACCUUUUGAUUUAAGAAGAAUCGUGUAAAUAAUUUAUUAUUGCGAAGUGCGCAAUCAUCACGAGUCUCUAUGAGAUAUGGGGGCAUCAUAUGAACAAUCUGAAAAUACAAUUAUAACCUAUCUGUGUAAGAUAAAAGUAAUAUUCUACAAUCAAUUCCGAGCACUAGGGAUAAGAUUACCCAGCGUAACCACAUGGAUGCAUUGAUAGUAUUCAAGAAGCUAUAAAGUGCCAGCGCAACAUGAAUAUAUUUUUUUCAAUAGGAAGCAAUAUCAUGCUUUAAAUGUAUUAGUGCAAUUAAAAACAUAUUUUAUAAAUCCAAAAUCUUUA
Colias croceus (clouded yellow) is the source of this 739-nucleotide long non-coding RNA. RefSeq lists it as uncharacterized. The record is from RefSeq and is a predicted model, not a curated record. The transcript has 2 exons. NCBI's taxonomy places the organism in Eukaryota, Metazoa, Arthropoda, Insecta, Lepidoptera, Pieridae.